AAAAAAAAAAAAAAAAAAAAGUUAGAAAGAGCUCUACUCAAAUCCUUUCAAAGUGUUUCCACUCGUUCUCACUCUCUCCGAAUCCCUUUGUCUGUCUCUCU
RNAcentral lists this non-coding RNA (101 nucleotides) under Aurantiochytrium limacinum. The record is from RNAcentral. Lineage: Eukaryota; Bigyra; Thraustochytrida; Thraustochytriidae.